Non-coding RNA from Pelobates cultripes (western spadefoot toad), 230 nucleotides. The record is from the annotation of a GenBank genome assembly. NCBI's taxonomy places the organism in Eukaryota, Metazoa, Chordata, Amphibia, Anura, Pelobatidae.
GAGAGCCAAUGUAAUCGUGUGUAUGUUUUUACUGUGGUUUAAUCUCAGGUCCAGGGGGAAGUGCCCCUUGCAUGGGGACCUGCAUAUAAGGCCAGUUAUGGCUGCCAAUAAAGGUAUUCCAACUUGUACUCCCAGAACUAUGUGUUGUCUGGUUACUGGAAGGGGAAAUGGCUAAUCACUGUUCCAGUGUGGAGGAUUCAACAGGGAAAGUCCUUGUAAGGCUAGAGCUC